ACGGAAGGCAGCAGUGGGGAAUAUUGCACAAUGGGCGAAAGCCUGAUGCAGCGACGCCGCGUGAGUGAAGAAGUAUCUCGGUAUAUAAAGCUCUAUCAGCAGGGAAGAAAAUGACGGUACCUGACUAAGAAGCCCCGGCUAACUACGUGCCAGCAGCCGCGGUAAUACGUAGGGGGCAAGCGUUAUCCGGAUUUACUGGGUGUAAAGGGAGCGUAGACGGUUUGGCAAGUCUGAAGUGAAAUGCGGGGGCUCAACUCCUGAACUGCUUUGGAAACUGUCGAACUAGAGUGCAGGAGAGGUAAGUGGAAUUCCUAGUGUAGCGGUGAAAUGCGUAGAUAUUAGGAGGAACACCAGUGGCGAAGGCGGCUUACUGGACUGUAACUGACGUUGAGGCUCGAAAGCGUGGGGAGCAAACAGGAUUAGAUACCCUGGUA
This 434-nucleotide ribosomal RNA is filed under the name uncultured Lachnospiraceae bacterium. RNAcentral's name for it is "partial 16S ribosomal RNA". It matches the Rfam family "Bacterial small subunit ribosomal RNA", at positions 341 to 792 of the family's 1533-position model. Lineage: Bacteria; Bacillati; Bacillota; Clostridia; Lachnospirales; Lachnospiraceae. The record is from RNAcentral.